CUUGGGAUGUAAGGGGCCGGUAUGCAUGCCCUGGGUUAGUACCACCUCGCCUAGCCAAGGGGGCCGUGUUGCACUUAUAAGGGCGGGCCUCCCUCCUCUCUCAGCCUAGGUUUUGAGAGCGAGGUGCCCGUCUGAAUAGGCUGCGCACGAGCGCAUGAACGUCCGACGCUGGCGAUGGUGGGCUUUAGGCGGACUGGCCCAGUGGGUGCGUUACAAUUGGUAUCGGAGCCCACAUUGCCGCUGCUGCCUGGGAGAGCUUUGGGCCUCUUAGGGGGGUGGGAUGUAAGGGGCCGGUAUGCAUGCCCUGGGUUAGUACCACCUCGCCUAGCCAAGGGGGCCGUGUUGCACUUAUAAGGGCGGGCCUCCCUCCUCUCUCAGCCUAGGUUUUGAGAGCGAGGUGCCCGUCUGAAUAGGCUGCGCACGAGCGCAUGAACGUCCGACGCUGGCGAUGGUGGGCUUUAGGCGGACUGGCCCAGUGGGUGCG
This 484-nucleotide long non-coding RNA is filed under the name Zea mays. RNAcentral describes it as "long non-coding RNA (ZMAY_LNC000247)". The record is from RNAcentral. Lineage: Eukaryota; Viridiplantae; Streptophyta; Magnoliopsida; Poales; Poaceae.